RNAcentral lists this ribosomal RNA (309 nucleotides) under uncultured bacterium. RNAcentral's name for it is "bacterial SSU rRNA". It matches the Rfam family "Bacterial small subunit ribosomal RNA", at positions 32 to 331 of the family's 1533-position model. The record is from RNAcentral.
AAUCAACGCUGGCGGCGUGCCUCAGACAUGCAAGUCGAACGAUUAAAGCUCUCUUCGGAGAGUGUAUAGAGUGGCGCACGGGUGAGUAACACGUAAGUAAUCUACCUUUGAGUGGGGAAUAACAGUCGGAAACGACUGCUAAUACCGCAUAAUGCAGCGGCAUCGCAAGAUGACAGUUGUUAAAGGAGCAAUCCGCUUAAAGAGGAGCUUGCGGCAGAUUAGCUAGUUGGUAAGGUAAUGGCUUACCAAGGCUACGAUCUGUAUCCGGUCUAAGAGGACGGUCGGACACACUGACACUGAAUAACGGGU